CGAGAAACCUUUGCAAUGUGCGAAAGCACGACAAGGUUAAUCCGAGUGUCUCCUGCUAAAGGAGUCUUUUGUCAGUUGUAGAAUCACUGGUGAAUAAGGGGUGGGCAAGUUCUGGUGUCAGCCGCCGCGGUAAAACCAGCACCUCGAGUGGUCAGGAGGUUUAUUGGGCCUAAAGCAUCCGUAGCCGGUUGCAUAAGUUUUCGGUUAAAUCUAUGCGCUUAACGUAUAGGCCGCCGAAAAUACUGUGCAGCUAGGGAGUGGGAGAGGUACACGGUACUCGAUAGGAAGGGGUAAAAUCCUUUGAUCUAUUGAAGACCACCUGUGGCGAAGGCGGGGUACCAGAACACGUUCGACGGUGAGGGAUGAAAGCUGGGGGAGCAAACCGGAUUAGAUACCCGGGUAGUCCCAGCUGUAAACGAUGCAGACUCGGUGAUGCAUUGGCUUGUGGCCAAUGCAGUGCCGCAGGGAAGCCGUUAAGUCUGCCGCCUGGGAAGUACGUACGCAAGUAUGAAACUUAAAGGAAUUGGCGGGGGAGCACCACAAGGGGUGAAGCCUGCGGUUCAAUUGGAGUCACGCC
RNAcentral lists this ribosomal RNA (577 nucleotides) under uncultured archaeon. RNAcentral describes it as "bacterial SSU rRNA". It matches the Rfam family "Archaeal small subunit ribosomal RNA", at positions 340 to 919 of the family's 1478-position model. The record is from RNAcentral.